AUUUCACUAGCAAAUGGCUGUAUAAGCCUGAGACGGCCGCUCGAACAAUGAAAUGGCCGUCACAUGAGGUACGGAAGGUUCACAAACCAAAACUAAAUUCGAAACGCGCGCCGAACCGGACUAUUUCGCGGAGCAGUACAUGUGCAGUAGCUCCGCCCCCGUAGCCUUCCCUUCAUUGCCAAGAAAAGUUGUCCUUGGGGGCGCUUUAGUUGUUUGACGGGUGCACGGUGCGCGCGGUUUGUGUGUGUGUGUGCCAUGCUGUGUUCUGCAAUGCUUCGUUACCACGUUUAUCGAUUAUGCACGUUGGUUACUUGAUUCAAUGUCAAGUGUACCUUCCAAGACGAUCUAGGUCCUAGUCUCGUGACUGAAGGCGAGUGCGGACGUACAGCAGCCUUUUGACAAGACUGUCGCCGAGUGUACGGUACAUUGUGGACUGUAAAGCUGAAGAGUGCACAGUGGAUGCCUGAUUUUGGAACCGAGUGUGAUCGUCUGGGCGGUGUGUUCACUCUGCGGGGAUGAUGGCCAGAGGAAGGAUGAUAGACAGACGACAGCUUGCAGACGAAGAUGGGAGCGUUCUACCUGUGAGCCUGGUCGAGCUUAUAUUUUAUGGAUACACAUGCAUGGAUACACAUACAUGGAUUCCCUACAAGGACCCUGCGCAUCAAAAGCAAUCUGUCAUCAAUGUUAAGUAGACAGAUUAAACGAAACGAAGAUAUGACAGGUGUACACCAUAUUUUUCUUUCAUUUAACCUCUGCAUGUUUCCCAGU
Molecule: long non-coding RNA, 768 nt
Organism: Rhipicephalus sanguineus (brown dog tick)
Lineage: Eukaryota; Metazoa; Arthropoda; Arachnida; Ixodida; Ixodidae
Exons: 4
Source: RefSeq, a predicted model, not a curated record